RNAcentral lists this ribosomal RNA (256 nucleotides) under uncultured archaeon. RNAcentral's name for it is "partial 16S ribosomal RNA". It matches the Rfam family "Bacterial small subunit ribosomal RNA", at positions 521 to 776 of the family's 1533-position model. The record is from RNAcentral.
UAAUACAGAGGGGGCAAGCGUUGUUCGGAAUUACUGGGCGUAAAGGGCGCGUAGGCGGCCCUCUAAGUCAGACGUGAAAUCCCUCGGCUCAACCGGGGAACUGCGUCUGAGACUGGAAGGCUUGAAUUCGGGAGAGGGAUGUGGAAUUCCAGGUGUAGCGGUGAAAUGCGUAGAUAUCUGGAGGAACACCGGUGGCGAAGGCGGCAUCCUGGACCGAUAUUGACGCUGGUGCGCGAAAGCCAGGGGAGCAAACGGG